Long non-coding RNA from Cyprinus carpio carpio, 1082 nucleotides. The record is from Ensembl. NCBI's taxonomy places the organism in Eukaryota, Metazoa, Chordata, Actinopteri, Cypriniformes, Cyprinidae.
GUAAGAUUUGAGGAACCCUGCACUAGGAUCUAGUUGUUGUUUCUUCAUAAGAUGCUUAAUAACCGCCAGCUUGAAAGGUUUUAGGUUGUGACCUGCGACAAGUUAAUAAUAUUGAAAAGUGGUUCUUCUACAGACUGUAAGCCACAGAGCAGCAGUUCAAUAAUGAAGUCUGCUGAGGAAUGUCCUACUACAGAGUGAUAGUGCUGAAAUCCUCCUGGAGACCGAGCAAUGAUCACACCGACAGCUUAGGUACAAUUUUUCAGCCACCAAUUCUUGCCUCUGCGCCUGUGGGAGCGAUGCUCAGUGGUGGUGUGGCUGAGGUAGGCCUCGCUUUAUUCCCAACAGCCGAUCCCUGGUCUGGGAGUUUGGGAUCUACGGAUGAAAUAACCCUUCUGAAUUUCCAAGUCAAAGAAUUAGUAUUCUUGCUUUGUGGUCUGGGAGUUACUUAAAGGAAAUUUAAAUUUGAGCUUAAAACACUGUGUUGGCUGUCAGCUUUUCAGCUUCAGAUUUACAUAUGAAAAAGAGGACAUAAUCAGAAAGGAUGGUAUGCACUGCUGGGAAAUUGUGUUAGAUGUGUGGUGCAGGGUAGUUUUCAGAAAGGUUGUGCCUGUCAGAUUAUUAGAUAAAUUGUGAAUUAAUCUGCAUGUUACUUGGAGUUUAGUACAAAGAUUUUGUGUGAAUCUAGACUGGUUGUUCCUUGCACCACUGUCAGACGGUUUCGUUAUUUAUUUAUUUUUUUACAUGGAAUUAUAAAAUGUAAAGUCCUGAUCUUGGAUGCUUAUUCCAGAUGUGUUCGAAUCCAUUCCACAAUGUAAUCAUUUGGGUCUUUUCAUAGACAUCUCAAGGUUACAUUGUAUUCUAAGUAAUGCCAAUAUUUCAGCUAGACAUUCAUUUUAUACCAUCUUUCCUACUGCACUUAUAUUUGUUCAACACAAAGUUUAAAUAAAAUAUCAGACUUGACAAAUAACAACAUAAGAAUCUUACAGUAUACACUGCAAAAAUAUUUUUAAUCAGUAUUACUCUCAUGUUUUCCAAUAAAAUAGUGAAACAUUUACUUUGUGAUAAAUAUUUUAGAAUACAUU